CCUACGGGAGGCUGCAGUGGGGAAUAUUGGACAAUGGGGGCAACCCUGAUCCAGCCAUGCCGCGUGUGUGAAGAAGGCCCUCGGGUUGUAAAGCACUUUCAGUGAGGAAGAACGCCUGGUGGUUAAUACCCAUCAGGAAAGACAUCACUCACAGAAGAAGCACCGGCUAACUCCAUGCCAGCAGCCGCGGUAAUACGGAGGGUGCGAGCGUUAAUCGGAAUUACUGGGCGUAAAGCGCGCGUAGGUGGCUUGAUAAGCCGGUUGUGAAAGCCCCGGGCUCAACCUGGGAACGGCAUCCGGAACUGUCAAGCUAGAGUGCAGGAGAGGAAGGUAGAAUUCCCGGUGUAGCGGUGAAAUGCGUAGAGAUCGGGAGGAAUACCAGUGGCGAAGGCGGCCUUCUGGACUGACACUGACACUGAGGUGCGAAAGCGUGGGUAGCAAACAGGAUUAGAUACCCGAGUAGUC
This 465-nucleotide ribosomal RNA is filed under the name Vreelandella stevensii. RNAcentral describes it as "partial 16S ribosomal RNA". It matches the Rfam family "Bacterial small subunit ribosomal RNA", at positions 338 to 795 of the family's 1533-position model. Lineage: Bacteria; Pseudomonadati; Pseudomonadota; Gammaproteobacteria; Oceanospirillales; Halomonadaceae. The record is from RNAcentral.